CUGCAGUAGAAGACUGAAAAGUAUUCCUCUCGUUAUACAGGUGGGCGCCUGAACGCAAAAAUAUGAAAUGUAUGCCCACAUUAUACUGGUGGGCGACCUAGAACAGAAAUAAAAAUACAGAAAUGUAUUCCCGCAUUAUACUGGUGGACGACCUAGAACAGAAAUGUAUUCCCGCAUUAUACUGGUGGGCGACCUAGACCAGAAAUGAAAAGACAUAAAUGUAUUCCCGCAUUAUACUGGUGGGCGACCUAGACCAGAAAUGAAAAGACAUAAAUGUAUUCCCGCAUUAUACUGGUGGGCGACCUAGAACAUGAAAUGUAUUCCCGCAUUAUACUGAUGGGCGACCUAGAACAGAAAUGAAAAGACAGAAAUGUAUUCCCGCAUUAUACUGGUGGGCGACCUAGAACAGAAAUGUAUUCCCGCAUUAUACUGGUGGGCGACCUAGAACAUGAAAUGUAUUCCCGCAUUAUACUGGUGGGCGACCUAGAACAGAAAUGAAAAGA
This 503-nucleotide long non-coding RNA is filed under the name Nicotiana tabacum (common tobacco). RNAcentral's name for it is "long non-coding RNA (NTAB_LNC016864)". The record is from RNAcentral. Lineage: Eukaryota; Viridiplantae; Streptophyta; Magnoliopsida; Solanales; Solanaceae.